GCGGUAAUACGGAGGAUCCAAGCGUUAUCCGGAUUUAUUGGGUUUAAAGGGUGCGUAGGCGGCCUGUUAAGUCAGGGGUGAAAGACGGUAGCUCAACUAUCGCAGUGCCCUUGAUACUGAUGGGCUUGAAUGGACUAGAGGUAGGCGGAAUGAGACAAGUAGCGGUGAAAUGCAUAGAUAUGUCUCAGAACACCGAUUGCGAAGGCAGCUUACUAUGGUCUUAUUGACGCUGAGGCACGAAAGCGUGGGGAUCAAACAGGAUUAGAUACCCUGGUAGUCCACGCCCUAAACGAUGAACACUCGCUGUUGGCGAUACACAGUCAGCGGCUAAGCGAAAGCGUUAAGUGUUCCACCUGGGGAGUACGGUCGCAAGAUUGAAACUCAAAGGAAUUGACGGGGGCCCGCACAAGCGGAGGAGCAUGUGGUUUAAUUCGAUGAUACGCGAGGAACCUUACCCGGGCUUGAAAGUUAGUGAAUGAUUUAGAGAUAGAUCAGUCCGCAAGGACACGAAACUAGGUGCUGCAUGGCUGUCGUCAGCUCGUGCCGUGAGGUGUUGGGUUAAGUCCCGCAACGAGCGCAACCCCUAUGUUUAGUUGCCAGCACGUAAAGGUGGGGACUCUAAACAGACUGCCUGUGCAAACAGAGAGGAAGGAGGGGACGACGUCAAGUCAUCAUGGCCCUUACGUCCGGGGCUACACACGUGCUACAAUGGAUGGUACAGAGGGCAGCUACAUAGCAAUAUGAUGCGAAUCUCACAAAGCCAUUCACAGUUCGGAUUGGGGUCUGCAACUCGACCCCAUGAAGUUGGAUUCGCUAGUAAUCGCGUAUCAGCAAUGACGCGGUGAAUACGUUCCCGGGCCUUGUACACACCGCCCGUCAAGCCAUGGAAGUUGGGGGUACCUAAAGUAUGUAACCGCAAGGAGCGUCCUAGG
RNAcentral lists this ribosomal RNA (932 nucleotides) under Pedobacter sp. AD219. RNAcentral's name for it is "bacterial SSU rRNA". It matches the Rfam family "Bacterial small subunit ribosomal RNA", at positions 517 to 1461 of the family's 1533-position model. The record is from RNAcentral. Lineage: Bacteria; Pseudomonadati; Bacteroidota; Sphingobacteriia; Sphingobacteriales; Sphingobacteriaceae.